This 445-nucleotide ribosomal RNA is filed under the name uncultured bacterium. Its description in RNAcentral is "bacterial SSU rRNA". It matches the Rfam family "Bacterial small subunit ribosomal RNA", at positions 354 to 796 of the family's 1533-position model. The record is from RNAcentral.
GUGAGGAAUAUUGGUCAAUGGUCGCAAGACUGAACCAGCCAUGCCGCGUGCAGGAAGACGGUCCUAUGGAUUGUAAACUGCUUUUAUACAGGAAGAAACCCUCCCACGUGUGGGAGCUUGACGGUACUGUAGGAAUAAGGAUCGGCUAACUCCGUGCCAGCAGCCGCGGUAAUACGGAGGAUCCAAGCGUUAUCCGGAAUCAUUGGGUUUAAAGGGUCCGUAGGCGGUCUUAUAAGUCAGUGGUGAAAGCCCAUCGCUCAACGAUGGAACUGCCAUUGAUACUGUAGGACUUGAAUGCUUAGGAAGUAACUAGAAUAUGUAGUGUAGCGGUGAAAUGCUUAGAUAUUACAUGGAAUACCAAUUGCGAAGGCAGGUUACUACUAAGUGAUUGACGCUGAUGGACGAAAGCGUGGGGAGCGAACAGGAUUAGAUACCCUAGUAGUCC